AGAACGUGUGGAAAACUAAUGACUGAGC
Molecule: non-coding RNA, 28 nt
Filed under: Homo sapiens (human)
Lineage: Eukaryota; Metazoa; Chordata; Mammalia; Primates; Hominidae
Source: RNAcentral